GGGCACAUGGUGUAGUUGGUUAUCACGCUCGCUUAGCAUCGAAAAUUGAACGUGGUUUGCGAGAGGUGUUGGGUUCAACUCCCAAUGCGUCCA
This 93-nucleotide transfer RNA is filed under the name Pholiota conissans. RNAcentral describes it as "tRNA-Ala". It matches the Rfam family "tRNA". Rfam says of the family: Transfer RNA (tRNA) molecules are approximately 80 nucleotides in length. Their secondary structure includes four short double-helical elements and three loops (D, anti-codon, and T loops). Lineage: Eukaryota; Fungi; Basidiomycota; Agaricomycetes; Agaricales; Strophariaceae. The record is from RNAcentral.